This 406-nucleotide ribosomal RNA is filed under the name uncultured bacterium. RNAcentral's name for it is "partial 16S ribosomal RNA". It matches the Rfam family "Bacterial small subunit ribosomal RNA", at positions 29 to 526 of the family's 1533-position model. The record is from RNAcentral.
AUUGAACGCUGGCGGCAGGCCUAACACAUGCAAGUCGAGCGCGCGGGGGACGGGUGAGUGAUGUCUGGGAAACUGCCUGAUGGAGAGGGGUAACUCCUGGAAACGGUAGCUAAUACCGCAUACGCUCAGAUGUGCCCAGAUGGGAUUUGCGAGUAGGGGGGGGAACGGCGCACCUAGGCGACGAUCCCUAGCUGGUCUGAGAGGAUGACCCGCCACACUGGAACUGAGACACGGUCCAGACUCCUACGGGAGGCAGCAGUGGGGAAUAUUGCACAAUGGGCGCAAGCCUGAUGCAGCCAUGCCGCGUGUGUGAAGAAGGCCUUCGGGUUGUAAAGCACUUUCAGCGGGGAGGCGUUACCCGCAGAAGAAGCACCGGCUAACUCCGUGCCAGCCGCGGCGGUAAUUC